AGAUUGAACGCUGGCGGCAGGCCUAACACAUGCAAGUCGAGCGGUAGAGAGGUGCUUGCAUCUCUUGAGAGCGGCGGACGGGUGAGUAAUGCCUAGGAAUCUGCCUAGUGGUGGGGGAUAACGUUCGGAAACGGACGCUAAUACCGCAUACGUCCUACGGGGAGAAAGGCGGGGGUACCUUCGGGCCUCGCGCCAUUAGAUGACGCCGUAGGUCGGAUUAGCUUAGGUUGGUGAGGUAAUGGCUACAACCGAAGGCGACGACUCCGUAACUGGUCUGAGAGGAUGAUCAGUCACACGUAGGAACUGAACGAC
RNAcentral lists this ribosomal RNA (312 nucleotides) under uncultured soil bacterium. Its description in RNAcentral is "bacterial SSU rRNA". It matches the Rfam family "Bacterial small subunit ribosomal RNA", at positions 26 to 327 of the family's 1533-position model. The record is from RNAcentral.